AGAGUUUGAUCCUGGCUCAGGAUGAACGCUGGCGGCAGGCCUAACACAUGCAAGUCGAGCGCUACCUUCGGGUGGAGCGGCGGACGGGUUAGUAACGCGUGGGAAUAUACCCAGUUCUAAGGAAUAGCCACUGGAAACGGUGAGUAAUACCUUAUACGCCCUUCGGGGGAAAGAUUUAUCGGAAUUGGAUUAGCCCGCGUUAGAUUAGAUAGUUGGUGGGGUAAUGGCCUACCAAGUCUACGAUCUAUAGCUGGUUUGAGAGGAUGAUCAGCAACACUGGGACUGAGACACGGCCCAGACUCCUACGGGAGGCAGCAGUGGGGAAUCUUAGACAAUGGGCGCAAGCCUGAUCUAGCCAUGCCGCGUGAGUGAUGAAGGCCCUAGGGUCGUAAAGCUCUUUCAACUGUGAAGAUAAUGACGGUAGCAGUAGAAGAAACCCCGGCUAACUUCGUGCCAGCAGCCGCGGUAAUACGGAGGGGGCUAGCGUAGUUCGGAAUUACUGGGCUUAAAGAGUUCGUAGGUGGUUGAAAAAGUUGGUGGUGAAAUCCCAGAGCUUAACUCUGGAACUGCCAUCAAAACUUUUCAGCUAGAGUAUGAUAGAGGAAAGCAGAAUUUCUAGUGUAGAGGUGAAAUUCGUAGAUAUUAGAAAGAAUACCAAUUGCGAAGGCAGCUUUCUGGAUCAUUACUGACACUGAGGAACGAAAGCAUGGGUAGCGAAGAGGAUUAGAUACCCUCGUAGUCCAUGCCGUAAACGAUGUGUGUUAGACGUUGGAAAUUUAUUUUCAGUGUCGCAGGGAAACCGAUAAACACACCGCCUGGGGAGUACGACCGCAAGGUUAAAACUCAAAUGAAUUGACGGGGACCCGCACAAGUAGUGGAGCAUGUGGUUUAAUUCGAAGAUACGCGCAGAACCUUACCAACACUUGACAUGUUCGUCGCGACUCUAAGAGAUUAGAGUUUUCGGUUCGGCCGGACGAAACACAGGUGCUGCAUGGCUGUCGUCAGCUCGUGUCGUGAGAUGUUGGGUUAAGUCCCGCAACGAGCGCAACCCUCACUUUUAGUUGCCAUCAUUAAGUUGGGCACUCUGAAAGAACUGCCAGUGAUAAGCUGGAGGAAGGUGGGGAUGACGUCAAGUCCUCAUGGCCCUUACGUGUUGGGCUACACACGUGCUACAAUGGCAUCUACAACAGGAAGCAAAACGGCAACGUUAAGCAAAUCCCGAAAAGAUGCCUCAGUUCGGAUUGCACUCUGCAACUCGAGUGCAUGAAGCUGGAAUUACUAGUAAUCGUGGAUCAGCGUGCCACGGUGAAUGCGUUCCCGGGUCUUGUACACACCGCCCGUCACACCAUGGGAGUUGGUUCUACCUUAAGGCAAGGUUUCAAACCCUUGACCACGGUAUAGUCAGCGACUGGGGUGAAGUCGUAACAAGGUAACC
This 1435-nucleotide ribosomal RNA is filed under the name uncultured Pelagibacterales bacterium. RNAcentral's name for it is "uncultured SAR11 cluster alpha proteobacterium 16S ribosomal RNA". It matches the Rfam family "Bacterial small subunit ribosomal RNA". Lineage: Bacteria; Pseudomonadati; Pseudomonadota; Alphaproteobacteria; Candidatus Pelagibacterales. The record is from RNAcentral.